Molecule: small nuclear RNA, 109 nt
Organism: Pipistrellus kuhlii (Kuhl's pipistrelle)
Lineage: Eukaryota; Metazoa; Chordata; Mammalia; Chiroptera; Vespertilionidae
Source: RefSeq, a predicted model, not a curated record
CAAGGAGGGAGCUGGAGCUUGCUUUGGCAGCACCGGGACGAUACAGAGAAGAGGAGCGUGGCCCCUGCACCAGGAUGACACACACAUUUGUGAAGCGUUCCGUACAGGG